This 393-nucleotide ribosomal RNA is filed under the name uncultured bacterium. Its description in RNAcentral is "partial 16S ribosomal RNA". It matches the Rfam family "Bacterial small subunit ribosomal RNA", at positions 523 to 918 of the family's 1533-position model. The record is from RNAcentral.
AUACGGAGGAUGCGAGCGUUAUCCGGAUUUAUUGGGUUUAAAGGGAGCGUAGGUGGGAUAUUAAGUCAGCUGUGAAAGUUUGGGGCUCAACCUUAAAAUUGCAGUUGAUACUGGUUUCCUUGAGUACGGUACAGGUGGGCGGAAUUCGUGGUGUAGCGGUGAAAUACUUAGAUAUCACGAAGAACUCCGAUCGCGAAGGCAGCUCACCGGGCCGGAACUGACACUGAUGCUCGAAAGUGCGGGUAUCAAACAGGAUUAGAUACCCUGGUAGUCCGCACAGUAAACGAUGAAUACUCGCUGUUUGCGAUACACUGUAAGCGGCCAAGCGAAAGCGUUAAGUAUUCCACCUGGGGAGUACGCCGGCAACGGUGAAACUCAAAGGAAUUGACGGGG